Molecule: ribosomal RNA, 253 nt
Filed under: uncultured bacterium
Lineage: Bacteria
Description: partial 16S ribosomal RNA
Rfam family: Bacterial small subunit ribosomal RNA
Source: RNAcentral
UACAGAGGGGGCAAGCGUUAUUCGGAAUUAUUGGGCGUAAAGGGCGCGUAGGCGGCCAUUCAAGUGACGGGUGAAAGCCCUCGGCUUAACCUCCAGACGUCGGUGGAAACCGCAUGGCUAGAGUCCGGAAGAGGAGAGUGGAAUUCCCGGUGUAGCGGUGAAAUGCGCAGAUAUCGGGAAGAACACCCGUGGCGAAGGCGGCUCUCUGGGACGGUACUGACGCUGAGACGCGAAAGCGUGGGGAGCGAACAGG